RNAcentral lists this ribosomal RNA (434 nucleotides) under uncultured Brenneria sp. Its description in RNAcentral is "bacterial SSU rRNA". It matches the Rfam family "Bacterial small subunit ribosomal RNA", at positions 958 to 1392 of the family's 1533-position model. The record is from RNAcentral. Lineage: Bacteria; Pseudomonadati; Pseudomonadota; Gammaproteobacteria; Enterobacterales; Pectobacteriaceae.
AACGCGAAGAACCUUACCUACUCUUGACAUCCACGGAACUUUUCAGAGAUGAAUUGGUGCCUUCGGGAACCGUGAGACAGGUGUUGCAUGGCUGUCGUCAGCUCGUGUUGUGAAAUGUUGGGUUAAGUCCCGCAACGAGCGCAACCCUUAUCCUUUGUUGCCAGCGGUUCGGCCGGGAACUCAAAGGAGACUGCCAGUGAUAAACUGGAGGAAGGUGGGGAUGACGUCAAGUCAUCAUGGCCCUUACGAGUAGGGCUACACACGUGCUACAAUGGCAUAUACAAAGAGAAGCGACCUCGCGAGAGCAAGCGGACCUCAUAAAGUAUGUCGUAGUCCGGAUUGGAGUCUGCAACUCGACUCCAUGAAGUCGGAAUCGCUAGUAAUCGUAGAUCAGAAUGCUACGGUGAAUACGUUCCCGGGUCUUGUACACACCG